GUCGAGCGAACAGACGAGGAGCUUGCUCCUCUGACGUUAGCGGCGGACGGGUGAGUAACACGUGGAUAACCUACCUAUAAGACUGGGAUAACUUCGGGAAACCGGAGCUAAUACCGGAUAAUAUAUUGAACCGCAUGGUUCGAUAGUGAAAGACGGUUUUGCUGUCACUUAUAGAUGGAUCCGCGCCGCAUUAGCUAGUUGGUAAGGUAACGGCUUACCAAGGCGACGAUGCGUAGCCGAACUGAGAGGGUGAUCGGCCACACUGGAACUGAGACACGGUCCAGACUCCUACGGGAGGCAGCAGUAGGGAAUCUUCCGCAAUGGGCGAAAGCCUGACGGAGCAACGCCGCGUGAGUGAUGAAGGUCUUCGGAUCGUAAAACUCUGUUAUUAGGGAAGAACAAAUGUGUAAGUAACUAUGCACGUCUUGACGGUACCUAAUCAGAAAGCCACGGCUAACUACGUGCCAGCAGCCGCGGUAAUACGUAGGUGGCAAGCGUUAUCCGGAAUUAUUGGGCGUAAAGCGCGCGUAGGCGGUUUUUUAAGUCUGAUGUGAAAGCCCACGGCUCAACCGUGGAGGGUCAUUGGAAACUGGAAAACUUGAGUGCAGAAGAGGAAAGUGGAAUUCCAUGUGUAGCGGUGAAAUGCGCAGAGAUAUGGAGGAACACCAGUGGCGAAGGCGACUUUCUGGUCUGUAACUGACGCUGAUGUGCGAAGGCGUGGGGAUCAAACA
This 731-nucleotide ribosomal RNA is filed under the name uncultured Staphylococcus sp. Its description in RNAcentral is "bacterial SSU rRNA". It matches the Rfam family "Bacterial small subunit ribosomal RNA", at positions 61 to 774 of the family's 1533-position model. The record is from RNAcentral. Lineage: Bacteria; Bacillati; Bacillota; Bacilli; Caryophanales; Staphylococcaceae.